GACGAACGCUGGCGGCGUGCUUAACACAUGCAAGUCGAACGGAAAGGCCCUGCUUUUGUGGGGUGCUCGAGUGGCGAACGGGUGAGUAACACGUGAGUAACCUGCCCUUGACUUUGGGAUAACUUCAGGCAACUGGGGCUAAUACCGGAUAGGAGCUCCUGCUGCAUGGUGGGGGUUGGAAAGUUUCGGCGGUUGGGGGUGGACUCGCGGCUUAUCAGCUUGUUGGUGGGGUGGUGGGUUAACAAGGCUUUAACGGGUCGGCGGCCUGGGAGGGUGACCGGCCACAUUGGGACUGAGAUACAGCCCCGACUCCUCCGGGAGGCAGCAGUGUGGAAUAUUGCACAAUGGGCGGAAGCCUGAUGCAGCAACGCCGCGUGCGGGAUGACGGCCUUCGGGUUGUAAACCGCUUUCGCCUGUGACGAAGCGUGAGUGACGGUAAUGGGUAAAGAAGCACCGGCUAACUACGUG
RNAcentral lists this ribosomal RNA (468 nucleotides) under uncultured bacterium. RNAcentral describes it as "partial 16S ribosomal RNA". It matches the Rfam family "Bacterial small subunit ribosomal RNA", at positions 28 to 507 of the family's 1533-position model. The record is from RNAcentral.